This 315-nucleotide ribosomal RNA is filed under the name uncultured bacterium. Its description in RNAcentral is "bacterial SSU rRNA". It matches the Rfam family "Bacterial small subunit ribosomal RNA", at positions 30 to 344 of the family's 1533-position model. The record is from RNAcentral.
AUUGAACGCUGGCGGCAUGCCUUACACAUGCAAGUCGAACGGUAACGGGCCUUCGGGUGCCGACGAGUGGCGAACGGGUGAGUAAUGUAUCGGAACGUACCUUUCAGUGGGGGAUAACAUAGCGAAAGUUACGCUAAUACCGCAUAUUCUGUGAGCAGGAAAGCAGGGGAUCGCAAGACCUUGCGCUGAUUGAGCGGCCGAUAUCAGAUUAGCUAGUUGGUGAGGUAAAGGCUCACCAAGGCGACGAUCUGUAGCGGGUCUGAGAGGAUGAUCCGCCACACUGGAACUGAGACACGGUCCAGACUCGUCUGUACU